GUUAAAACACCAGUUACCACAAGAUCACCGACGUUAAGCAACGUUGCGCCUGGUCAGUACCUAGAUGGGUGACCGCUUGUGAAUACCAGGUGCUGAA
Molecule: ribosomal RNA, 97 nt
Filed under: Acanthosepion pharaonis
Lineage: Eukaryota; Metazoa; Mollusca; Cephalopoda; Sepiida; Sepiidae
Source: RNAcentral